ACUACACUGAAAAAAAUGGACUUGGUGGGUCUUUGAAUUUAAAUAAAAUAAACAUGUAUAUGCAACACAAAAUAUUUAUAUUCCUUGUGUAAACAUAAUUUAAUUGAUUAGGAUGAAAAUGUUUUGUUUGAAUGUAAAAUGAACACAUUAUUCUCACAUUGAUUAAAAUUGAUUGAAUUGAAUACUUAAUGCAAUAAAAUUGAGUUUGCAUACAAAAUGGCACCUCCUGAGCAGCAGGGGCAGUAUAGCUCAAUGAAAAGGACGUCAACUGCCAUAAAAGAAGAAUAAACAUCGUUUGUUUUGGGCGCCAAAAUGAGCAGCAGUCAGUCAGAAGAACUCUCUCAGACGGACACCACGUUAUUAAAGUCCAUCAUCCUUGCACACACUCAAAAGCAUUGAUAAAUGCUGAAUUUAAAAGAAUCACUACUGUCUAAUGUUCCUGCGUGUCACCUGGACCUCCAAUCCAAAAACCUGAUGAAGCUCUUCUAUCAGAAAGCAGGACAGCUAGCAAAAAGACUUGGAACAAUCAAUGAUCAAAUGACAGAAGGCAUGGAUGAAGUCAGCAUCAGUGAGGUCAUUUGAAGACACCAAUGUUGGGAUUUGUGCUCUCAAACAACAUGCUUCUUGUGAUGAAGAAGAGGAUCUUUGUAUAGUCCUGGAAGGCAUGAAGGUGUUGCAACAUCGUGCCAUGUUGUUUAAGCUGAU
Non-coding RNA from Misgurnus anguillicaudatus (oriental weatherfish), 705 nucleotides. NCBI's taxonomy places the organism in Eukaryota, Metazoa, Chordata, Actinopteri, Cypriniformes, Cobitidae. The record is from RefSeq and is a predicted model, not a curated record.